UUAUUUCUUAUUUUACCAGUGAGGUAUACAUAUGAAGUGGCCUUAUCAUUUUCAUUUGAGCGACAGAACAUGGCAGCUAACGUUACUGCUUAACUAGUGAACGUUAGACCAUGUGGGUUAGUUUUUCCCGGGCAAACUUUGUCAGUGUCGCUAUUAAUUAACAAUAUUUUCAGGAUAAUGUUCUCAAGGUAUGAUUGAGAAGUCAAAUUUUUAUAUAUUUUGACUUGUAAAGCGUAUUUGUGAAGUAUGAAUUGCAGGUUAAUUGUGUGUUAUGAUAACAUUGCUACUAUAGCUGAGACGAAUUAGCCUAAUGAUGUCUCAUAGAUGGUGAAAUUACAGGCCAUCUUCACACUGGUCACCAAUAAUUAGCUACAAAGCUAUUUACUUAUUUAACAGCCAUAUCUAUCCGAUUGUCACUUUUUAGAGCCAGAGACCUUUAUUUGCAUGUUUAGGUUUAUUUUGGAUAACAUUGUGACAUGAGAUAAGAAGAUGUGGAAAUGUUUGCAUGUUCAACAGAAUUACGGACAAAAAUCUACAGCAGGAAUUCUAUGAAAACCUGGACAGACACAGUUCACGGUUCAUGGACCUUUUUACAACCAGAAGGGGGACUCCUGGUCAGCACUUGUUGAAGUUUUUACAGCAAAUAGAGUCAGACCAGCCAACUGAGGUCUGAACCCUUGUUCAUCCAGGACUGCCUAUCAUGCUCGGAGAUGAAGACUCUUCUUUCUUCAAGUCAUGUUUAGUGUCUGAUCAUUGCAACACUAUCCUUGAUGUGCCAAUGGGGCUCUUAUUCGAGGACACCGAUCUUCAGCCCCCCCAACUCCUUGCAUUUGACUUCUUCGAUUGGAAUAAUUCUUGAAGGCCAAGUGGUGAUGGACAAAAUGCAGGACCUCCCACAGGCAAUCUGUCUUCUCUUCGGUCUGAUUUAUGCACUAGACCUGAAUUACACAA
Long non-coding RNA from Cyprinus carpio carpio, 951 nucleotides. NCBI's taxonomy places the organism in Eukaryota, Metazoa, Chordata, Actinopteri, Cypriniformes, Cyprinidae. The record is from Ensembl.